UACGGAGGGGGCUAGCGUUGUUCGGAAUUACUGGGCGUAAAGCGCACGUAGGCGGCUUUGUAAGUUAGAGGUGAAAGCCCGGGGCUCAACCCCGGAAAUGCGCCCAAGACUGUUUGGCUCGAGACCCGGAGAGGUGAGUGGAACUCCCAGUGUAGAGGUGAAAUUCGUAGAUAUUGGGAAGAAAACCAGUGGCGAAGGCGGCUCACUGGACGGGUACUGACGCUGAGGCACGAAAGCGUGGGGAGCAAACAGG
Molecule: ribosomal RNA, 253 nt
Filed under: uncultured bacterium
Lineage: Bacteria
Description: partial 16S ribosomal RNA
Rfam family: Bacterial small subunit ribosomal RNA
Source: RNAcentral